Molecule: ribosomal RNA, 504 nt
Filed under: uncultured bacterium
Lineage: Bacteria
Description: partial 16S ribosomal RNA
Rfam family: Bacterial small subunit ribosomal RNA
Source: RNAcentral
GACGAACGCUGGCGGCGUGCUUAACACAUGCAAGUCGAACGGUGAAGCGCUUGCCUUUUUGGUGGGUGUGGAUGAGUGGCGAACGGGUGAGUAACACGUGAGUAACCUGCCCUCUUCUUCUGGAUAACCUCAUGAAAGUGGGGCUAAUACGGGGUAUUCCGGGUCUGUCGCAUGGCGGGUUUGGGAAAGAUUGCGCCUUUGGGUGUUUUCGGUGGGGGAUGGGCUCGCGGCCUAUCAGCUUGUUGGUGGGGUGAUGGCCUACCAAGGCGGUGACGGGUAGCCGGCCUGAGAGGGUGGACGGCCACACUGGGACUGAGACACGGCCCAGACUCCUGCGGGAGGCAGCAGUGGGGAAUAUUGCACAAUGGGCGCAAGCCUGAUGCAGCGACGCCGCGUGAGGGAUGGAGGCCUUCGGGUUGGGAACCUCUUUCGCCAGUGAAGCAGGCCUGCUCCUGUGUGGGUGGGUUGACGGUAGCUGGAUAAGAAGCGCCGGCUAACUACGUG